GUUUCAGUUCUCGAAGGAAAAUUCAGGGAACCUAGGGACUGCCCGUAGGCGCAGUAACCGUCUAAUUUUCAGUGUUGAAUCAAAUAAGGAGCUCUCACCCUAUUUCCUAUCAUGGAAUUAAAGUUCAAAUAAAUAAUAAUACGGUCCUUUGUACAAAUUAAAUGGAUGUGCUUGAUUAAUUACGGAUUGCUAAUGGAGCCCAAAUCGGACAUUGUUUUCUGUCAAUUACUGUUGAUUUAUUGUACAGUCUAAAAGCAUGAUGAUAUCUAGUUUAUAUAUAUAUGAUUUAAAU
Molecule: long non-coding RNA, 292 nt
Filed under: Carica papaya (papaya)
Lineage: Eukaryota; Viridiplantae; Streptophyta; Magnoliopsida; Brassicales; Caricaceae
Description: long non-coding RNA (CPAP_LNC005384)
Source: RNAcentral